AGCAUCCGUAGCCGGCUGUUCAAGUUUCCGGUUAAAUCCACACGCUUAACGUAUGGGCUGCCGGAAAUACUGUUCAGCUAGGGAGUGGGAGAGGUGGACGGUACUCGGUAGGAAGGGGUAAAAUCCUUUGAUUUAUUGAUGACCACCUGUGGCGAAGGCGGUGUACCAGGACACGUUCGACGGUGAGGGAUGAAAGCUGGGGGAGCAAACCGGAUUAGAUACCCGGGUAGUCCCAGCUGUAAACGAUGCAGACUCGGUGAUGCAUUGGCUUGUGGCCAAUGCAGUGCCGCAGGGAAGCCGUUAAGUCUGCCGCCUGGGAAGUACGUACGCAAGUAUGAAACUUAAAGGAAUUGGCGGGGGAGCACAAGCCGA
This 372-nucleotide ribosomal RNA is filed under the name uncultured Nitrososphaerota archaeon. RNAcentral's name for it is "bacterial SSU rRNA". It matches the Rfam family "Archaeal small subunit ribosomal RNA", at positions 514 to 889 of the family's 1478-position model. The record is from RNAcentral. Lineage: Archaea; Thermoproteati; Nitrososphaerota.